UUUUUUUUUUUUAUUUUAAAUUUUAGUAAUUAAAUUAUUAGCUUAAGCAUAGAAUGUUCAGAACAGUAUCACUUGUUUGAUCUGUGAGUUUUGUGCCUUCUUGGCAUCAUGAGAUUUUGGUUUCAGUGUUUAUUCUCCUUAUUUUUUACUAUUAAAAGUACUCAAAAUUGUAAUAGGACUUUAUCUCAACCAUAGGGUUUUAGCAGAGUUUCUCUUGUCUUCAUUCUGUCCUAUCUAGGGCCUAGCCUGCUAUUAAAUCAAGGCUCUUGUCAGUCUUCUCAUAUUCUUGGCCCACAGGCCUCUUUUCAUCUUUCCUCUUGUUUAACUUAAAGAAUUUGCUGUUGCUUACUUGCUCCUUCUUUUCUGCAAUCUUUGAGUUUGGAGAAGAUAACUACCAAUUUGUUUGCAUGGUUUUUCUCACAUUCAAUCACUAAUAUAAUCUCUACCAUUUGCUGAUGACUUAGCAAGGCAUAUCUGAUAGCUUCAUGCCAUCUUUACAUAUGGUCCAUGAUUUCUCUACUUAUGGGUUUUCAAGGCAUUGUCAAUCCUAUUUCCCAUCCUUCAUGUCUAGGUUGGUGUCAUACUCGCUUAGAAAUAUGAACUUAUGUUUCAGUUGCCUUUUUAUUUGGAUGUUACAUUUAUGUCAUACACUCUGAAUGUAGUACAAGGGCUUGUGCUUUUCUCUCUCUCUCUCUCUCCUUUUUCAUGAUUUGGGUAAAUGUGUUCCUAAAGAGAACCAUGAUGGUAAGGGAACUAACCUGCAUGCAUUACAAAGAAAGUUUAGGAACACAAUUUAAAUGUUCUUUCUCUAUCAACAGAAAUUUAUUUGUGUGUGAAUUUUUCUCAGAUUAUCACUCCAUUAGUCUUUGAUUUCUUGUUAAUCCUGC
This 887-nucleotide unclassified non-coding RNA is filed under the name Hevea brasiliensis (rubber tree). The record is from RNAcentral. Lineage: Eukaryota; Viridiplantae; Streptophyta; Magnoliopsida; Malpighiales; Euphorbiaceae.